This 878-nucleotide ribosomal RNA is filed under the name uncultured bacterium. RNAcentral describes it as "bacterial SSU rRNA". It matches the Rfam family "Bacterial small subunit ribosomal RNA", at positions 1 to 886 of the family's 1533-position model. The record is from RNAcentral.
GGCUUAGAGUUUGAUCAUGGCUCAGGAUAAACGCUGGCGGCGCACAUAAGACAUGCAAGUCGAACGGACAGAAGCACAUUCUUUUAGAUUGAGUGGAUGUUAGUGGCGGACUGGUGAGUAACGCGUAAGGAACCUACCUUUUAGAGGGGAAUAACAAUGAGAAAUCAUUGCUAAUACCGCAUAUGCCAUAGCUAUUGCAUGACAGCAGUGGGAAAGGAGCAAUCCGCUAGAAGAUGGCCUUGCGUCUGAUUAGCUAGUUGGUGGGGUAAAGGCCUACCAAGGCGACGAUCAGUAGCCGGACUGAGAGGUUGAACGGCCACAUUGGGACUGAGAUACGGCCCAGACUCCUACGGGAGGCAGCAGUCGGGAAUAUUGCGCAAUGGAGGAAACUCUGACGCAGUGACGCCGCGUAUAGGAAGAAGGUUUUCGGAUUGUAAACUAUUGUCGUUAGGGAAGAGAAAGGACAGUACCUAAGGAGGAAGCUCCGGCUAACUACGUGCCAGCAGCCGCGGUAAUACGUAGGGAGCGAGCGUUAUCCGGAAUUAUUGGGUGUAAAGGGUGCGUAGACGGGAUAACAAGUUAGUUGUGAAAUCCCUCGGCUUAACUGAGGAACUGCAACUAAAACUAUUAUUCUUGAGUGCAGGAGAGGUAAGUGGAAUUCCUAGUGUAGCGGUGAAAUGCGUAGAUAUUAGGAGGAACACCGGUGGCGAAGGCGACUUACUGGACUGUAACUGACGUUGAGGCACGAAAGUGUGGGGAGCAAACAGGAUUAGAUACCCUGGUAGUCCACACUGUAAACGAUGGAUACUAGGUGUAGGGGGUAUUAAGACUUCUGUGCCGUCGCAAACGCAGUAAGUAUCCCACCUGGGGAGUACGGC